GAUGAACGCUAGCGGCAGGCCUAACACAUGCAAGUCGAGGGGCAGCACAGAGAUAGCUUGCUAUCUUGGGUGGCGACCGGCGCACGGGUGAGUAACGCGUAUCCAACCUGCCCAUUACUCAGGGAUAGCCUUGCGAAAGUAAGAUUAAUACCUGAUGUUGUUUGAUUGCCGCAUGACGAUCAAACCAAAGAUUUAUUGGUAAUGGAUGGGGAUGCGUGACAUUAGGUAGUUGGUGAGGUAACGGCUCACCAAGCCCACGAUGUCUAGGGGUUCUGAGAGGAAGGUCCCCCACACUGGAACUGAGACACGGUCCAGACUCCUACGGGAGGCAGCAGUGAGGAAUAUUGGGUCAAUGGACGAGAGUCUGAACCAGCCAAGUAGCGUGCAGGAUGACGGCCCUCUGGGUUGUAAACUGCUUUUAGUGGAAUAAAAGNGGGACGUGUCCCUAAUUGUAUGUACCAUCAGAAAAAGGCCGGCUAAUUCCGUGCCAG
Molecule: ribosomal RNA, 491 nt
Filed under: uncultured bacterium
Lineage: Bacteria
Description: bacterial SSU rRNA
Rfam family: Bacterial small subunit ribosomal RNA
Source: RNAcentral